AGCUUUGCACAGUGGCAGUAUCAUAGCCAAUAAGGCUUAUCUGAGGCACAAUUAUUGCUAAUAGAAAAAUGAUAAAAAUGAACCUAUUUACAGGGC
Capra hircus (goat) is the source of this 96-nucleotide small nuclear RNA. Its record names the gene U4. It matches the Rfam family "U4 spliceosomal RNA". From Rfam's summary of the family: U4 small nuclear RNA (U4 snRNA) is a component of the major U2-dependent spliceosome. The structure of U4 snRNA from yeast and human has been reported. NCBI's taxonomy places the organism in Eukaryota, Metazoa, Chordata, Mammalia, Artiodactyla, Bovidae. The record is from Ensembl.